ACUACUUUUUGUCAUCAGAUCCGUGUCUUCAAUGCCCUUUUUAUCCGUUGAUAUUGAAUGCCUUGGAUAGACACGAGAAUCGUAUCUAAGUUCCUUCUCGUGCCUAUUUCCUUUUCUUCUACCGUGCAUGUUGUCCUCCGUAUCUUUUAAUCAUUUAUUGUUCUUUGACUGUUUGACUAAUCCACGUAUCAUGCCACGUCACAUUUAAUAAAAACUCAAUUUUUUUCCAAUACAUGACUAGAAGAUGUUACUACAUUAGCCCUACAAAGAGGGCAGUUAGAAUGAGAUUUC
This 291-nucleotide long non-coding RNA is filed under the name Nicotiana benthamiana. RNAcentral's name for it is "long non-coding RNA (NBEN_LNC014757)". Lineage: Eukaryota; Viridiplantae; Streptophyta; Magnoliopsida; Solanales; Solanaceae. The record is from RNAcentral.